RNAcentral lists this ribosomal RNA (482 nucleotides) under uncultured bacterium. RNAcentral's name for it is "partial 16S ribosomal RNA". It matches the Rfam family "Bacterial small subunit ribosomal RNA", at positions 30 to 507 of the family's 1533-position model. The record is from RNAcentral.
AUUGAACGCUGGCGGCAUGCUUUACACAUGCAAGUCGAACGGUAACAGGCCGCAAGGUGCUGACGAGUGGCGAACGGGUGAGUAAUGCAUCGGAACGUGCCCAGUCGUGGGGGAUAACUACUCGAAAGAGUAGCUAAUACCGCAUACGAUCUAUGGAUGAAAGCGGGGGACCGUAAGGCCUCGCGCGAUUGGAGCGGCCGAUGUCAGAUUAGGUAGUUGGUGGGGUAAAGGCUCACCAAGCCAACGAUCUGUAGCUGGUCUGAGAGGACGACCAGCCACACUGGGACUUAGACACGGCCCAGACUCCUACGGGAGGCAGCAGUGGGGAAUUUUGGACAAUGGGCGCAAGCCUGAUCCAGCAAUGCCGCGUGCAGGAAGAAGGCCUUCGGGUUGUAAACUGCUUUUGUACGGAACGAAACGGCUCUGGUUAAUACCCGGGGCUAAUGACGGUACCGUAAGAAUAAGCACCGGCUAACUACGUG